This 283-nucleotide long non-coding RNA is filed under the name Lathyrus oleraceus (garden pea). RNAcentral describes it as "Pisum sativum (pea) long non-coding RNA (PSAT_LNC013929)". Lineage: Eukaryota; Viridiplantae; Streptophyta; Magnoliopsida; Fabales; Fabaceae. The record is from RNAcentral.
GAAUUCAUACCUUAGGUUUUUGGGAAGUGUCUUAAGUUCUACGAAAGGUUUCUUUCGGCAAGGCAUAGGAUUUGAAGUUAGUGCGAGGCAUUCCCUCAAACUGUCAUCCACAUAUGGCAUACGCCAUUCAUCAUCUUCUAAUAUAGGAGGUGCUGGGAUUUUUAGGACAUCAGUAUCCUUAGGUGGUUCCAUCUCCAUUUCUUUUAUACAUUCUUCGAUGAUGUCUAUGAAACAACUUGUUUCAUCUAUAUCAGGUGCCUUCUUAAAUUGUGAAAGAAUGAAU